RNAcentral lists this ribosomal RNA (305 nucleotides) under uncultured bacterium. RNAcentral describes it as "partial 16S ribosomal RNA". It matches the Rfam family "Bacterial small subunit ribosomal RNA", at positions 508 to 808 of the family's 1533-position model. The record is from RNAcentral.
ACAGCAGCCGCCGCGGGAAUACGUAGGUCCCGAGCGUUGUCCGGAUUUAUUGGGCGUAAAGCGAGCGCAGGCGGUUAGAAAAGUCUGAAGUGAAAGGCAGUGGCUCAACCAUUGUAGGCUUUGGAAACUGUUUAACUUGAGUGCAGAAGGGGAGAGUGGAAUUCCAUGUGUAGCGGUGAAAUGCGUAGAUAUAUGGAGGAACACCGGUGGCGAAAGCGGCUCUCUGGUCUGUAACUGACGCUGAGGCUCGAAAGCGUGGGGAGCGAACAGGAUUAGAUACCCCCGUAGUCCCUGUCUCUUAUACA